UAUGGUCAAAUCACGCUGAAACACCGGUUCUCGUACGAUCACCGAAGUUAAGCAGCGUAGAGCCAGGUCAGUACUUAGAUGGGGACCGCUUGGGAACACCUGGUACU
RNAcentral lists this ribosomal RNA (107 nucleotides) under Acanthosepion pharaonis. The record is from RNAcentral. Lineage: Eukaryota; Metazoa; Mollusca; Cephalopoda; Sepiida; Sepiidae.